CCUACGGGAGGCAGCAGUGAGGAAUAUUGGUCAAUGGGCUUACGCCUGAACCAGCCAAGUCGCGUGAGGGAGUACUGCCCUAUGGGUUGUAAACCUCUUUUGUCGGGGAGCAAAAGCCGGACGUGUCCGGCUGUGAGAGUACCCGAAGAAAAAGCGUCGGCUAACUCCGUGCCAGCAGCCGCGGUAAUACGGAGGAUGCGAGCUUUAUCCGGUUUUAUUGGGUUUAAAGGGUUCGCAGGCGGAUUUUUAAGUCAGCGGUAAAAUCGUGGGUCUAAACCCCAUCCAGCCGUUGAAACUGGGGGUCUAGAGGGUGGGAGAGGUAUGCGGAAUGCGUGGUGUAGCGGUGAAAUGCAUAGAUAUCACGAAGAACCCCGAUUGCGAAGGCAGCAUACUGGUGCACAACUGACGCUGAGGCACGAAAGCGUGGGUAUCGAACAGGAUUAGAUACCCCUGUAGUC
This 458-nucleotide ribosomal RNA is filed under the name uncultured bacterium. RNAcentral describes it as "partial 16S ribosomal RNA". It matches the Rfam family "Bacterial small subunit ribosomal RNA", at positions 338 to 795 of the family's 1533-position model. The record is from RNAcentral.